UUCGGGAAACCCUACCUGCCAGUCUCGUCUGAAUGCGAUGGAUGUGGUGAGCGUGCUGCACAGGGGAUUUUGUGAUCUCUGGAAUACAAGACUCUUGGAGACUGACGAGUUUCGCUGGCUGGAGAGGUGGCUGGAGCUGCGGGCGGCCAGCAAGCCACCAAACCAGCUGGUUUUUUUCACGGCUGGGAAGGGCCCAUGCUAAAACUUCUUGCACCACCUGCAGGUAGCGUGGGCGGAGAUGGGCCUUAAAAGGUCCCCCCAACUUCACCGACCUGAGGACGGCUGUGUUUGCUCAUGCCAAGAACAACCUGCCUGCCGAGCAGC
Sander lucioperca (pikeperch) is the source of this 324-nucleotide long non-coding RNA. RefSeq lists it as uncharacterized. The record is from RefSeq and is a predicted model, not a curated record. The transcript has 3 exons. Lineage: Eukaryota; Metazoa; Chordata; Actinopteri; Perciformes; Percidae.